UACGAAGGGGGCUAGCGUUGCUCGGAAUCACUGGGCGUAAAGGGUGCGUAGGCGGGUCUUUAAGUCAGGGGUGAAAUCCUGGAGCUCAACUCCAGAACUGCCUUUGAUACUGGAGACCUUGAGUCCGGGAGAGGUGAGUGGAAUUGCGAGUGUAGAGGUGAAAUUCGUAGAUAUUCGCAAGAACACCAGUGGCGAAGGCGGCUCACUGGCCCGGAACUGACGCUGAGACGCGAAAGCGUGGGGAGCAAACAGG
This 253-nucleotide ribosomal RNA is filed under the name uncultured bacterium. RNAcentral describes it as "partial 16S ribosomal RNA". It matches the Rfam family "Bacterial small subunit ribosomal RNA", at positions 524 to 776 of the family's 1533-position model. The record is from RNAcentral.